GAGUUUGAUCCUGGCUCAGGAUGAACGCUAGCGGUAGGCUUAACACAUGCAAGUCGAGGGGUAACGAUGUCUUCGGACAGUCGACGACCGGCGCACGGGUGAGUAACGCGUAUGCAACCUACCCGUAGCUGAGGGAUAGGUCCGAGAAAUCGGAAUUAAUACCCCAUAACAUUGAACAUGAUUUAGAUUUUAAAGUUUCGGCGGCUACGGAUGGGCAUGCGUGACAUUAGUUUGUUGGUGAGGUAACGGCUCACCAAGACUACGAUGUCUAGGGGGUCUUAAAGGAUGAUCCCCCACACUGGUACUGAGACACGGACCAGACUCCUACGGGAGGCAGCAGUGAGGAAUAUUGGGCAAUGGGCGCAAGCCUGAACCAGCCAUGCCGCGUGUAGGAUGAAUGCCCUAUGGGUUGUAAACUACUUUUAUACAGGAAUAAACCCCUCUACGUGUAGAGGGCUGAAGGUACUGUAAGAAUAAGCACCGGCUAACUCCGUGCCAGCAGGCGCGGUAAUACGGAGGGUGCAAGCGUUAUCCGGAUUUAUUGGGUUUAAAGGGUCCGCAGGCGGGUCUGUAAGUCAGUGGUGAAAGUUUGCAGCUUAACUGUAAAAUUGCCAUUGAUACUGAUGGGCUUGAGUCUGGUAGAGGUAGGCGGAAUGUGUAGUGUAGCGGUGAAAUGCUUAGAUAUUACACAGAACACCGAUUGCGAAGGCAGCUUACUAUGCCAGCACUGACGCUGAUGCACGAAAGCGUGGGGAGCGAACAGGAUUAGAUACCCUGGUAGUCCACGCCGUAAACGAUGAUAACUGGUUGUGCGCGAUACACUGUGCGUGACUGAGGGAAACCAUUAAGUUAUCCACCUGGGGAGUACGUUCGCAAGAAUGAAACUCAAAGGAAUUGACGGGGGCCCGCACAAGCGGAGGAACAUGUGGUUUAAUUCGAUGAUACGCGAGGAACCUUACCUGGGCUUAAAUGUGGUUUGACCGGCUUAGAAAUAGGUUUUCCCUUCGGGGCUAUUUACAAGGUGCUGCAUGGUUGUCGUCAGCUCGUGCCGUGAGGUGUCGGGUUAAGUCCCAUAACGAGCGCAACCCCUAUCGUUAGUUGCUAGCAGGUAAUGCUGAGGACUCUAGCGAGACUGCCACCGUAAGGUGAGAGGAAGGUGGGGAUGACGUCAAAUCAGCACGGCCCUUAUGUCCAGGGCUACACACGUGUUACAAUGGCCGAUACAAUGAGCAGCUACCAGGCAACUGGAUGCUAAUCUCCAAAGUCGGUCUCAGUUCGGAUCGGAGUCUGCAACUCGACUCCGUGAAGUUGGAUUCGCUAGUAAUCGGAUAUCAGCCAUGAUCCGGUGAAUACGUUCCCGGGCCUUGUACACACCGCCCGUCAAACCAUGGAAGUUGGGGGUACCUGAAGUACGUGACCGUAAGGAGCGUCCUAGGGUAAAUCUGAUGACUGGGGUUAAGUCGUAACAAGGUAGCCG
RNAcentral lists this ribosomal RNA (1477 nucleotides) under uncultured prokaryote. Its description in RNAcentral is "partial 16S ribosomal RNA". It matches the Rfam family "Bacterial small subunit ribosomal RNA". The record is from RNAcentral.